CACGUAGGGGCCAAGCGUUGUCCGGAUUUAUUGGGCGUAAAGAGCUCGUAGGCGGCUCGGUAAGUCGGGUGUGAAACCUCCAGGCUCAACCUGGAGACGCCACCUGAUACUGCUGUGGCUAGAGUCCGGUAGGGGAGCGUGGAAUUCCUGGUGUAGCGGUGAAAUGCGCAGAUAUCAGGAGGAACACCGAUGGCGAAGGCAGUGAUCUGGGCCAGUACUGACGCUGAGGAGCGAAAAGCGUGGGGGAGCGAACAGG
RNAcentral lists this ribosomal RNA (256 nucleotides) under uncultured bacterium. RNAcentral's name for it is "partial 16S ribosomal RNA". It matches the Rfam family "Bacterial small subunit ribosomal RNA", at positions 524 to 776 of the family's 1533-position model. The record is from RNAcentral.